GGCCUCUGCUAUACAACAUGAUCACAAAAAUUGUAAGACAUGCUGACAAAGGUUGCUCAGCAACACUAGAAAAUGCAAAAAUGAUAUGCUUGUUUUGGGAUAAAAAAUAAUGUAAGGUAACAUAGUAGUUACUAAACUUCAAAAACCAAAGAAGUUUCAUUUAUUAUACAAGAAACAAGGAUCGAUUCAGUGAGAAGAAAAGAUACACAAACACAGCAAGAAUUGACCAAGAAUUCUUGUUUAUUGAGUUUACCAUCCAAGGUCCCACAACUUUUUUAUCCUUUCCUUUCUACCCUUGCUAUCCAACAGCUUUCCCCUUUCUUCCGCUUUGCUUAAGUUCUCAACAAUUCAAAAUCUCAUCUGAAUCUGAUUUCAAAACAAAAUUCAAAAUUUCCCUCCUAAUCUAGUCCAUUUACCCUCUUAACCAAAUGUUCCUCAUCUGUACCAUGCUAAAUUGAUUCCCACAACAUCCCUAAGAGAAGACAGCAAUCAUCU
RNAcentral lists this unclassified non-coding RNA (495 nucleotides) under Hevea brasiliensis (rubber tree). The record is from RNAcentral. Lineage: Eukaryota; Viridiplantae; Streptophyta; Magnoliopsida; Malpighiales; Euphorbiaceae.